Molecule: transfer RNA, 72 nt
Filed under: Phrynosoma platyrhinos (Desert horned lizard)
Lineage: Eukaryota; Metazoa; Chordata; Lepidosauria; Squamata; Phrynosomatidae
Description: tRNA-OTHER
Source: RNAcentral
CAGUGUGUGGCAUAGUGGUUUGAGCGUUGGACUAUGACUCUGGAGACCAGGGUUUGAUUCCCCGCUGGGUGA